UGGGGAAUAUUGGACAAUGGGCGAAAGCCUGAUCCAGCAAUGCCGCGUGAGUGAUGAAGGCCUUAAGGGUUGUAAAGCUCUUUCGCACGCGACGAUGAUGACGGUAGCGUGAGAAGAAGCCCCGGCUAACUUCGUGCCAGCAGCCGCGGUAAUACGAAGGGGGCUAGCGUUGUUCGGAAUUACUGGGCGUAAAGGGCGCGUAGGCGGCCCGUCAAGUCAGGCGUGAAAUCCCCGAGCUUAACUUGGGAAUAGCGCUUGAGACUGGCGGGCUUUGAGUCCGGGAGAGGUGAGUGGAAUUCCCAGGUGUAGAGGUGAAAUUCGUAGAUAUUGGGAAGAACACCAGUGGCGAAGGCGGCUCACUGGACCGGCACUGACGCUGAGGCGCGAAAAGCGUGGGGGAGCAAACAGGAUUAGAUACCCUGGUAGUCCACGCCGUAAAACGAUGAGUGCUAGACGUU
This 458-nucleotide ribosomal RNA is filed under the name uncultured bacterium. RNAcentral's name for it is "partial 16S ribosomal RNA". It matches the Rfam family "Bacterial small subunit ribosomal RNA", at positions 355 to 824 of the family's 1533-position model. The record is from RNAcentral.